GACGAACGCUGGCGGCGUGCUUAACACAUGCAAGUCGAACGGAAAGGCCCUGCUUUUGUGGGGUGCUCGAGUGGCGAACGGGUGAGUAACACGUGAGUAACCUGCCCUUGACUUUGGGAUAACUUCAGGAAACUGGGGCUAAUACCGCAUAGGAGCUCCUGCUGCAUGGUGGGGGUUGGAAAGUUUCGGCGGUUGGGGAUGGACUCGCGGCUUAUCAGCUUGUUGGUGGGGUAGUGGCUUGCCAAGGCAUUGACGGGUAGCCGGCCUGAGAGGGUGACCGGCCACAGUGGGACUGAGAUACGGGCCAGACUCCUACGGGAGGCAGCAGUGGGGAAUAUUGCACAAUGGGCGGAAGCCUGAUGCAGCAACGCCGCGUGCUGGAUGACGGCCUUCGGGUUGUAAACCGCUUGCGCCUGUGACGAAGCGUGAGUGACGGUAAUGGGUAAAGAAGCACCGGCUAACUACGUG
Molecule: ribosomal RNA, 468 nt
Filed under: uncultured bacterium
Lineage: Bacteria
Description: partial 16S ribosomal RNA
Rfam family: Bacterial small subunit ribosomal RNA
Source: RNAcentral